Molecule: transfer RNA, 75 nt
Filed under: Vibrio parahaemolyticus
Lineage: Bacteria; Pseudomonadati; Pseudomonadota; Gammaproteobacteria; Vibrionales; Vibrionaceae
Description: tRNA-Phe
Rfam family: tRNA (bases 6-67)
About the family: Transfer RNA (tRNA) molecules are approximately 80 nucleotides in length. Their secondary structure includes four short double-helical elements and three loops (D, anti-codon, and T loops). Further hydrogen bonds mediate the characteristic L-shaped molecular structure. tRNAs have two regions of fundamental functional importance: the anti-codon, which is responsible for specific mRNA codon recognition, and the 3' end, to which the tRNAs corresponding amino acid is attached (by aminoacyl-tRNA synthetases). tRNAs cope with the degeneracy of the genetic code in two manners: having more than one tRNA (with a specific anti-codon) for a particular amino acid; and 'wobble' base-pairing, i.e. permitting non-standard base-pairing at the 3rd anti-codon position.
Source: RNAcentral
GCCUCGAUAGCUCAGUCGGUAGAGCAGAGGAUUGAAAAUCCUCGUGUCGGUGGUUCGAUUCCGCNUCAGUAGGUA